AAAUGAAUUGACGGGCACCCGCACAAGCGGUGGAGCAUGCUGUUUAAUUCGAAACUACGCGAAGAACCUUACCUAGAUUUGACAUCCCGGGCAGACGCUUAGAAAUAAGCGCGAGGUUAUCCCGGUGACAGAUGGUGCAUGGUUGUCGUCAGCUCGUGUCGUGAGAUGUUUGGUUAAGUCCAACAACGAGCGCAACCCCUAUUAUUAGUUGCUAACAUUUAGUUGAGAACUCUAAUAAUACUGCCGGUGUAAGCCGGAGGAAGGUGGGGAUGAGGUCAAAUCAUCAUGCCUCUUACAUCUAGGGCUACAGGCGUGCUACAAUGGCUGGUACAACGAGUCGCAACACGGCAACGUGAAGCUAAUCUCUUAAAGCCAGUCCCAGUUCGGAUUGGGGUCUGCAACUCGACCCCAUGAAGUUGGAAUCGCUAGUAAUCCCGAAUCAGAAUGUCGGGGUGAAUACGUUCUCGGGUGUUGCACACACCGCCCGU
This 488-nucleotide ribosomal RNA is filed under the name uncultured bacterium. RNAcentral describes it as "bacterial SSU rRNA". It matches the Rfam family "Bacterial small subunit ribosomal RNA", at positions 903 to 1397 of the family's 1533-position model. The record is from RNAcentral.